CAGAGGGUGCGAGCGUUGUCCGGAAUCACUGGGCGUAAAGGGCGCGUAGGUGGCGGCAUAAGGCUGUGGUGAAAGUCUGGGGCUCAACUCCAGAUCGGCCGCGGCGACUGUGUCGCUUGGGCACCGUAGAGGCAGAUGGAAUUCCGGGUGUAGCGGUGGAAUGCGUAGAGAUCCGGAAGAACACCAGUGGCGAAGGCGGUCUGCUGGGCGGUGAGCUCGCGAGAGCUCAAUAGCCGACACUGAGGCGCGACAGCGUGGGGAGCAAACAGGAUUAGAUACCCUGGUAGUCCACGCCGUAAACGAUGGGCACUAGGUGCUCCGGGGAGCGACCCUUGGAGUACCGGCGCUAACGCAUGAAGUGCCCCGCCUGGGGAGUACGGCCGCAAGGCUG
This 391-nucleotide ribosomal RNA is filed under the name uncultured organism. RNAcentral's name for it is "bacterial SSU rRNA". It matches the Rfam family "Bacterial small subunit ribosomal RNA", at positions 526 to 896 of the family's 1533-position model. The record is from RNAcentral.